Molecule: ribosomal RNA, 253 nt
Filed under: uncultured bacterium
Lineage: Bacteria
Description: partial 16S ribosomal RNA
Rfam family: Bacterial small subunit ribosomal RNA
Source: RNAcentral
UACGUGUGAGGCGAGCGUUAUUCGUCAUUAAUGGGUCUAAAGGGUGCGUAGGCGGCGCGGUAAGUCGGGUGUGAAAUCUCGGAGCUUAACUCCGAAACUGCAUUCGAUACUGCCGUGCUUGAGGACUGGAGAGGAGACUGGAAUUUACGGUGUAGCGGUGAAAUGCGUAGAUAUCGUAAGGAAGACCAGUGGCGAAGGCGGGUCUCUGGACAGUUCCUGACGCUGAGGCACGAAGGUCAGGGGAGCAAACGGG